UGCAGACUCUGUGAAAAUAUACUUUUUACUCACUUAUCUGUCAACAAUGAGGAAAUAUAUUUUUUCCUGGAUUGACUUUCUUUCUUUUAUUUCUCACUAUUCAGUAUCUGGACUAUACAGUUCUCCUGGGCAAUUUAUCUGCCCUAUUCCCGGCAGUUAUUAUUGCAACUAGAAUCAGUAUAGUAUUGACAGAAAUCUCUUGGGAUGAAUUAUAUCCAUCUCUUCUGAGACUACCUCAUCAUCAAUCUUCCCAUUUUUUCUAUCAUCAUUUUAAUCAGUACCUGCUUGCCUCCGGCUCCUCUUCCUCUAUAGGCUUGCAUCCAGGCUCUGUGCAUUGCACGGCGAUCCUACCCGCAUGCUUAAGAGGAUCAUUUCCUCUUUUUCCCAUCCCUCCUUCCAUCUAUCUGGGAUUUUCCAUCUGGGACUUUGAGCCAAUCACGGCCAAUCAUUCAGGUUUUUUUAGUCCAUUUUCACAGGUAAAUAUAUUCUUUACAAUUAUUAUUUAUUUUUUUCGUUAAAGUCCACAGCUACCACAGAU
Rana temporaria (common frog) is the source of this 538-nucleotide long non-coding RNA. RefSeq lists it as uncharacterized. The record is from RefSeq and is a predicted model, not a curated record. Lineage: Eukaryota; Metazoa; Chordata; Amphibia; Anura; Ranidae. The transcript has 3 exons.